RNAcentral lists this ribosomal RNA (1499 nucleotides) under uncultured Halomonas sp. RNAcentral's name for it is "bacterial SSU rRNA". It matches the Rfam family "Bacterial small subunit ribosomal RNA". Lineage: Bacteria; Pseudomonadati; Pseudomonadota; Gammaproteobacteria; Oceanospirillales; Halomonadaceae. The record is from RNAcentral.
AGAGUUUGAUCCUGGCUCAGAUUGAACGCUGGCGGCAGGCCUAACACAUGCAAGUCGAGCGGCAGCACGGGAAGCUUGCUUCCUGGUGGCGAGCGGCGGACGGGUGAGUAAUGCAUAGGAAUCUGCCCGGUAGUGGGGGAUAACCUGGGGAAACCCAGGCUAAUACCGCAUACGUCCUACGGGAGAAAGCAGGGGCUCUUCGGACCUUGCGCUAUCGGAUGAGCCUAUGUCGGAUUAGCUGGUUGGUGAGGUAAUGGCUCACCAAGGCGACGAUCCGUAGCUGGUCUGAGAGGAUGAUCAGCUACAUCGGGACUGAGACACGGCCCGAACUCCUACGGGAGGCAGCAGUGGGGAAUAUUGGACAAUGGGCGCAAGCCUGAUCCAGCCAUGCCGCGUGUGUGAAGAAGGCCCUCGGGUUGUAAAGCACUUUCAGUGGGGAAGAAAGCCUGGUGGUUAAUACCCGUCAGGAAGGACAUCACCCACAGAAGAAGCACCGGCUAACUCCGUGCCAGCAGCCGCGGUAAUACGGAGGGUGCGAGCGUUAAUCGGAAUUACUGGGCGUAAAGCGCGCGUAGAUGGCUUGAUAAGCCGGUUGUGAAAGCCCCGGGCUCAACCUGGGAACGGCAUCCGGAACUGUCAGGCUAGAGUGCAGGAGAGGAAGGUAGAAUUCCUGGUGUAGCGGUGAAAUGCGUAGAGAUCGGGAGGAAUACCAGUGGCGAAGGCGGCCUUUCUGGACUGACACUGACACUGGGGUGCGAAAGCGUGGGUAGCAAACAGGAUUAGAUACCCUGGUAGUCCACGCCGUAAACGAUGUCGACUAGCCGUUGGGUCCUUCGCGGACUUUGUGGCGCAGUUAACGCGAUAAGUCGACCGCCUGGGGAGUACGGCCGCAAGGUUAAAACUCAAAUGAAUUGACGGGGGCCCGCACAAGCGGUGGAGCAUGUGGUUUAAUUCGAUGCAACGCGAAGAACCUUACCUACCCUUGACAUCCUGCGAACCCUUCGGAGACGAAGGGGUGCCUUCGGGAACGCAGAGACAGGUGCUGCAUGGCUGUCGUCAGCUCGUGUUGUGAAAUGUUGGGUUAAGUCCCGUAACGAGCGCAACCCUUGUCCCUAUUUGCCAGCGAUUCGGUCGGGAACUCUAGGGAGACUGCCGGUGACAAACCGGAGGAAGGUGGGGACGACGUCAAGUCAUCAUGGCCCUUACGGGUAGGGCUACACACGUGCUACAAUGGUCAGUACAAAGGGUUGCGAACUUGCGAGAGUGAGCCAAUCCCAGAAAGCUGAUCUCAGUCCGGAUCGGAGUCUGCAACUCGACUCCGUGAAGUCGGAAUCGCUAGUAAUCGUGAAUCAGAAUGUCACGGUGAAUACGUUCCUGGGCCUUGUACACACCGCCCGUCACACCAUGGGAGUGGACUGCACCAGAAGUGGUUAGCCUAACCUUCGGGAGGGCGAUCACCACGGUGUGGUUCAUGACUGGGGUGAAGUCGUAACAAGGUA